UUCCCCCUCCCAAACCCCUGAUAGAGGGGGGAAGUUAAGAGACAGCAGUGAUGCCAGCACUGCUCAGAGGCAGCCAGAGCACUGGUAACACCUGUUCAGGGUUAGCAGGCAGUAGUCCCAAAAUCUGCUUCCAAGUAAUUUUUUGAACUCUGAGGAGGUAACAGCAUCUCUGGGGAAAGUUUCACUGGAUCACUGUACCUUAAGAAACUAUUCCUGUAUGAAGUAUCUGUCACAGAGGAGCUGAAAUAUUAAGAAAAAUGCAACAAUU
Molecule: long non-coding RNA, 268 nt
Organism: Cyanistes caeruleus (blue tit)
Lineage: Eukaryota; Metazoa; Chordata; Aves; Passeriformes; Paridae
Source: RefSeq, a predicted model, not a curated record